Molecule: non-coding RNA, 30 nt
Filed under: Mus musculus (house mouse)
Lineage: Eukaryota; Metazoa; Chordata; Mammalia; Rodentia; Muridae
Source: RNAcentral
UCCAGAGUGAACAGGACCCUGAGCUGGGCC